Molecule: ribosomal RNA, 456 nt
Filed under: uncultured bacterium
Lineage: Bacteria
Description: bacterial SSU rRNA
Rfam family: Bacterial small subunit ribosomal RNA
Source: RNAcentral
AGCGAACGUUUGCGGCGGGCCUAACACAUGCAAGUCGAACGCACUAGCAAUAGUGAGUGGCGCACGGGUGCGUAACACGUGGGUAAUCAACCCUUCAGCCUGGGAUAACGACUCGAAAGGGUCGCUAAUACCGGAUACGGCGCGAGAGGCUUCGGCUUCUCACGAGAAAGCCACGCAAGGGGCACUGAAGGACGAGCCUGCGGCCCAUCAGCUAGUUGGUGAGGUAAGAGCUCACCAAGGCUAAGACGGGUAGCUGGUCUGAGAGGAUGAUCAGCCACACUGGAACUGAGACACGGUCCAGACUCCUACGGGAGGCAGCAGUGGGGAAUAUUGCGCAAUGGGCGAAAGCCUGACGCAGCCACGCCGCGUGAGCGAUGAAGGCCUCGGUCGUAAGACUCUGUGGGAGGAGACGAAGAAAGACCUGUGAAGAGCAGGCCGUUGACGGUAGUCUCCUUA